GGCGGUGGCGGCCGGGGCGGCGUGGGGGCGGGCCUCGGGCCCGGGGCCGGAAGCGCGGGCGCCGGCGCCGGCUGCGCGCUCACGUGGGCUCCCGGGGCGCUGCUUCCCCGGGACUGUCGGCCGCCUCUGCUGUCGCGGGAGACCGGGCACGAGCGCGCCCGCCCCGUCCUGGUGUGCGCACCGGCACCGGAGGGAGGAUCGGAGGCAGAAAAAUGAAGCUAAAGAGGGAAAAACCUGGACGCAUCACAGGCCUCACAGGACUCUCACAAGCAGUGCCCCAAGGAAAGAGUGAAACCACUGACCUUUCUCAUGCUGAAGCCAGUUGUUUUCCAGCGUGGUCCUGCCCCAGAGCGCGUUGGCUCCAUCCACUGCCACCAGCAGGCGGAACAGUCCCAGAGCGCUUUGCCUCUUCAGCUCUUUGAGCACCACCCCAACAGCAUCAGUGGCAUUCCGCACCCGUGUGAUGCCCUGUAGACAUACUUCUCUUGAACUGUGAUCUAAGUACAAACAAAGGAAACGAGAAUCAAGAAGCAGCUAAAGUGGCCCUGAGAACAAGCCUGAGGAGGUAGCUUGAGGAGAGUAGAUGCACGUUUGAUUUCUCAUAAAGGAUGUAAGAGAGAACAGCGUGAAAGGGAAUGAUUUUGAGCCCACUUGUACCUGAGUCUUUAAAAACUGGCUUAGAAAGGUGCUUGGAAGCUUCUGGCUUAUUUUUUCUUCCACUUGCAACCUGCCCGUGGGAACAGUGGAGAUUGUGAUACCCUGUUUCAGCCCACUCUGCAUCCUAAUCGAAGGCCUCCCCUGAGAGAGCUGAACAUGGUCAAAGUGAGCCAAGAUGCCACCAGGGAGGAGGACUUUGGCUCAUGACCACAUAAACACAGCAGGAAAGGAUACAGAGAACAUAGCGCACAGCUGGGUGGCUAAAAUUGGUGUUUUUCAGGUACUGUAUAAGUUCCAGGGCUGGGCUUCUUACCA
Long non-coding RNA from Sorex araneus (European shrew), 972 nucleotides. RefSeq lists it as uncharacterized. The record is from RefSeq and is a predicted model, not a curated record. The transcript is spliced from 6 exons. NCBI's taxonomy places the organism in Eukaryota, Metazoa, Chordata, Mammalia, Eulipotyphla, Soricidae.